AUGUGCGCGGUGGACGUGGUCUACGGCGAGGUCUCCGCGGGGCGGGUCGCGCUGCCGCUCGCGGACGGGAGCGCGCUGCGGGGGAGGCUCUCCGUGGAGCUCGGGCCCGACGACGUGCCGCCGUUCGUCGCCGCGCCGGCGUGGUACCCGGCGUUCACCGAGUCGGCGCUGUCGCAGUUCGAGGGGCUGGACCAGGCCGACCACGUGCUCGUCAACUCCUUCCGCGACCUCGAGCCAAUGGAGGCAGAUUACAUGGAAUCGAAAUGGGGCGCAAAGACCGUCGGCCCGACAUUGCCGUCGUUCUACCUUGACGAUGAUCGCCUGCCGUCGAACAAGACCUAUGGUUUCAACCUCGUCUCGAGCACUUCUCCGUGUGUGGCAUGGCUCAACAAGCAGGCUCCUUGCUCUGUGCUCCUCGCAUCCUACGGCACGGUUGCUAACCUUGACUCGACACAACUAGAAGAGCUAGGCCAUGGAUUGUGCAACUCCGGACAACCUUUCCUUUGGGUGUUGAGGCCUAGUGAGACAGAUAAGUUGCCCCAGGAACUCCAUGACAAAUGCAACAUGAAAGGCCUAAUUGUUCCCUUUUGCCCUCAGCUGGAGGUGUUGGCUCACAGGGCCACAGGUUGUUUCUUGACACAUUGUGGAUGGAACUCGACAACUGAAGCAAUUGCCACUGGUGUACCCAUGAUCGCAAUACCGCAAUGGGCGGACCAACCGACCGCCGCAAAGUACAUGGAGAGCGCAUGGGGGAUCGGCCUGCGUGCACGUCGAGGCAAGAAAGGCUUGGUGAGACGAGAAGAGGUGGAGAGGUGCAUCAAGGAAGUGAUGGGUGGGAAGGAGUAUAUGAGGAAUGCUUCUAAGUGGAUGCAGAAGGCCAAAGAGGCUAUGCAGGAAGGAGGGAGCUCUGACAAUAACAUUGCAGAUUUUGCAGCCAAAUAUUUAUGA
RNAcentral lists this ribosomal RNA (948 nucleotides) under Triticum aestivum (bread wheat). RNAcentral describes it as "partial small subunit ribosomal RNA". The record is from RNAcentral. Lineage: Eukaryota; Viridiplantae; Streptophyta; Magnoliopsida; Poales; Poaceae.